Pyrgilauda ruficollis (rufous-necked snowfinch) is the source of this 2424-nucleotide long non-coding RNA. RefSeq lists it as uncharacterized. The record is from RefSeq and is a predicted model, not a curated record. Lineage: Eukaryota; Metazoa; Chordata; Aves; Passeriformes; Passeridae. The transcript is spliced from 3 exons.
UAUUUAGUUGUUUUUUUUUCCCUGAUCCCAUGGUCUUUCCCCCCCCCCCCCAAGCCCCAGUGGUAGUGGUUUGUUCCAGGUUUACUCCUCCCCUCACCCUUUCCUCACUUGUAUCCCAUUGGUUGUGGCCCCCUUCCUCUGACCCUUUCCCCUGAGCUUAAAUCUCCUGGGAGGAGACCCCCAAGUUCUCUUUUUCUCCUGGGACACCACCUCCUUCCCAUCUCGGAUCCCCUGGAGUAAUUCCACAAUAAAGCUGUGUGAUUUUUGGUCCCGGGAUGAGAAGAGUGCCUCCAGUCUUUUACUUUUGUCCUUCUAAGGCUGGAAGGGGCCAGGGUCCAGAGCUAGUCAGAUCGGACCCGAAUGGCCCUGGGAGAGAUCAGCCAUUUACAGCUGGACCCCCAACGUGUUCAUCUCCCAAGAGGUCUGAGACGUCACGCUGCAGCUGGUAAUCCACAUGUGGAUUACGUUAGCUUUUGGGACUGUCAGGUACCUCGGACUUGCAGUCGCUUUUUGGAUGGUGGAGAGACACGAGGGUGGAACCAACAAUUAGUUCCAGCCCUGAAUUAACCUGUCUCAGGAAAGAGGACUUCCUUACAUCGUUCCAGCCAACCCAGGUCCCCAGAAAGGGGUCUACCCAGUGGACAGUCAUUGGAGUGGACCUGCCGGAGGAGUCACAGGACUUGCCGUUAGAUUGCACAGGAUUGGACAAGAAGGAAAUCUACCUCCCACUCUACCUCACGUUGAGCCCUAUCCGAGUUGUCAUCCUAUUCGCACUGAGCAGUCUGACAGCUGCGUGGAUCGUCCCUCAGCCAUGCCAGAACAUCUGGGUGACCCUAGCACAGACGCUCCAACAGGAAAAUAUAUGCCUGUCCACUGCAGCAGCGAAAGACCCUAUGUCUACCUGCCUAGUAGGGAUUCCAUUGCAAGCUGAAUAUUUUCCAGCCAAGUUUGAAACACCUAUGCCUGACCCAGGUCCCAAAUCACAUCACAUACAACCACACAAUACCCAUCAGCGGCGAGCUGUAAUGAUCAAGAACCCCGUAGAGGAGUGGCUGCCAAAGUUGCCCAGAGCAGCUCAGGAGCCCCAAGAGUUACAGCUGUUGGGUUCCUCCCCAGCACCAUACUGCAUACACUUUACCCCACUUUCCAACAUAAACCUUUUAACAACAGACUGCAAUACCGAGAAGAGUUCACUGCCAAAAGGUGGUGUAAGGUUUUAAGCCAUAUCACAGCAGAUAACCUGUACCAUUCCCAUCCCAAAAGCCUCCCUAAAGGUUUGUUUAUAAUUUGUGGGGACCGGGCAUGAGCAGGAAUCCCUUCUCAGCUUUUAGGAAGGCCAUGUACCAACAGAUGGUUGUCCCUGUUGGUACCCAACCAAACCAUGACUGGCGAAUGGACUCGAAAGAACAAUUCGGUCAGCAAAAUUCAAAAGAGAAGCAUUGACGAUUUGGACCCAAAUUGCGAUCCAGACAUUUUUCAUUGGGCCAAGUCAAAGCAAAUCACUGUAUCCCUGUUCUAUCCAUGGGUUGCAGCAGCCAAAGCUCUAGGUGAAUUGGGCCACCUAGAGUGCUGGGUGGUCAAACAGGCAAACUUUGACAUCUGCCGCCAUCAGCUCCCUCCUAGAGGACGAGGAGAGUACCAGGCAGGCCACACUCCAAAAUCGUGUGGCCAUAGAUUUCCUCCUGCUGCUGCAUGGACAUGAGUGCCAGGAAUUCGAAGAACUUUGCUGCUUGAACCUAACAUCAAAAGCACUGAAUGUCCAUGUGGCUCUCCAAGAAGUGAAAAGCCUGAUUGGACAAGUCAAGCAAGAAUCUAAGGACUGGUUCAGCAGACUGUUCAAGGACUGGGGACUCUUGGGGUGGUGGACUUCAAUAAUUAAGACUAUUCUGUUGUUUUUUGUUGUUCUUUUUCUAAUCAUGUUAGCAUUCAGAAUUCUAUGUUGCAUAUUUUUAAAAGCCAUCGAUGGUUUUAUCUCCACUACUUCAAAAGUCAACCACACAGAGUUUGUGGACCUAAAGCAAACUGACAGGCCCGCAAAUCAUGAGUAGUGGACGAAUUCAUAAUCUGUACCAGAAUAGGCCAAUGCUUUUCUUUUAUUUUUUCUUAACAGAAAAGGGGGAGGUGUUGUAUCGUACUAAAUAGUUUAUUUAGUUGUUGUUUUUUCACUGAUCACAUGGUCUUCCACCUCCCCCCCCCCCCCCAAGCCCCAGUGGUAGUGGUUUGUUCCAGGUUUACUCCUCCCCUCACCCUUUCCUCACUUGUAUCCCAUUGGUUGUGGCCCCCUUCCUCUGACCCUUUCCCCUGAGCUUAAAUCUCCUGGGAGGAGACCCCCAAGUUCUCUUUUUCUCCUGGGACACCACCUCCUUCCCAUCUCGGAUCCCCUGGAGUAAUUCCACAAUAAAGCUGUGUGAUUUUUGGUCCCGA